GGACGUAUAGGGUGUGACGCCUGCCCGGUGCCGGAAGAUUAAAUGAUGGGGUGCAAGCUCUUGAUUGAAGUCCCGGUAAACGGCGGCCGUAACUAUAACGGUCCUAAGGUAGCGAAAUUCCUUGUCGGGUAAGUUCCGACCUGCACGAAUGGCGUAACGAUGGCCACACUGUCUCCUCCCGAGACUCAGCGAAGUUGAAGUGUUUGUGAUGAUGCAAUCUACCCGCGGCUAGACGGAAAGACCCCAUGAACCUUUACUGUAGCUUUGCAUUGGACUUUGAACCGAUCUGUGUAGGAUAGGUGGGAGGCUAUGAAACCGGAACGCUAGUUUCGGUGGAGCCGUCCUUGAAAUACCACCCUGGUUUGUUUGAGGUUCUAACCUUGGCCCGUGAUCCGGGUCGGGGACAGUGCAUGGUAGGCAGUUUGACUGGGGCGGUCUCCUCCCAAAGCGUAACGGAGGAGUACGAAGGUACGCUAGGUACGGUCGGAAAUCGUGCUGAUAGUGCAAUGGCAUAAGCGUGCUUAACUGCGAGACCGACAAGUCGAGCAGGUGCGAAAGCAGGUCAUAGUGAUCCGGUGGUUCUGUAUGGAAGGGCCAUCGCUCAACGGAUAAAAGGUACUCUGGGGAUAACAGGCUGAUACCGCCCAAGAGUUCAUAUCGACGGCGGUGUUUGGCACCUCGAUGUCGGCUCAUCUCAUCCUGGGGCUGUAGCCGGUCCCAAGGGUAUGGCUGUUCGCCAUUUAAAGAGGUACGUGAGCUGGGUUUAAAACGUCGUGAGACAGUUUGGUCCCUAUCUGCCGUGGGCGUUGGAUAUUUGAAGGGGGCUGCUCCUAGUACGAGAGGACCGGAGUGGACGAACCUCUGGUGUACCGGUUGUCACGCCAGUGGCAUCGCCGGGUAGCUAUGUUCGGAAGAGAUAACCGCUGAAAGCAUCUAAGCGGGAAACUCGCCUUAAGAUGAGAUAUCCCUGGGGACUAGAUCCCCUUGAAGGGUCGUUCGAGACCAGGACGUUGAUAGGUCAGGUGUGUAAGCGCAGUAAUGCGUUCAGCUAACUGAUACUAAUUGCCCGUAAGGCUUGAUCCUAUAACA
RNAcentral lists this ribosomal RNA (1089 nucleotides) under Burkholderia cenocepacia. RNAcentral describes it as "bacterial LSU rRNA". It matches the Rfam family "Bacterial large subunit ribosomal RNA", at positions 1839 to 2925 of the family's 2925-position model. Lineage: Bacteria; Pseudomonadati; Pseudomonadota; Betaproteobacteria; Burkholderiales; Burkholderiaceae. The record is from RNAcentral.